UGCCUUAGCUGGGGAUUAGGACAGGUUUCCUAAGCUUGGAGGGGGACAGUGGGCAGCAGCAGAGGAGUCUGGCCCCUCAGUGAUGGUUUUGGAGGCUGAUAGGGAGCAGUAAAGGAGAGCAGGUUUCUGACAGCUCUCCAAGCAGCAGCAGAAGUUGUACUACAAAGAGGGAAUAACCAAGGCUCACUUCCUUCUGGAUCUGUGUCCCAAGAGACAACCAAACUGUGGCAAACUGAAGUGUGGGAAUGCUGAAGGAGAGGUGCAAGGCAAGGGGAAGUACCAGGAGAGCAUCUAUGGCUGCUACCUGCUGCACAGCAGAACUGCAAAAGCAGCCUGACCUUUGGGACAGGUGGCGACUGCCCAA
Long non-coding RNA from Passer domesticus (house sparrow), 364 nucleotides. RefSeq lists it as uncharacterized. Lineage: Eukaryota; Metazoa; Chordata; Aves; Passeriformes; Passeridae. The record is from RefSeq and is a predicted model, not a curated record. The transcript is spliced from 3 exons.